AAUAUUGUGUCUGAUUAAAGAGUUAAAUUGUAAAUUUAAAUAUGGAUUAGUUAAAUCUCAAUAUUA
This 66-nucleotide transfer RNA is filed under the name Sclerodermus sichuanensis. RNAcentral's name for it is "tRNA-Tyr". Lineage: Eukaryota; Metazoa; Arthropoda; Insecta; Hymenoptera; Bethylidae. The record is from RNAcentral. RNAcentral also lists the same sequence under 1 other name.